AAUUGGUAUAGCGUUUGGGAGAUUUACAGGGGGAUCUUACUAUGGAGUCGGCAUGUCUUCCAUGUGAUCUUGAUUUUGUUCCUGAGCUAGUCUGCUUUUGAGGUGAACUUGACUGUGAUUUUCCUAUGGACUUGGACCUUUUUGGCUAUCCGAACGCCUCCUGUUUCUUCCCCAUGAAGAACUUCUACUUCGAGUUCUCCUUGGACUGGGGCUUCUUGAUCUCCUGUGAUCAGCUGGAGAACAAGGAUGACGUUCUUUUGAUUUCAUUUGGCCUGGUGCUAGAAUGUGAAAAACAAGGCUUGUAACACAAUUCAUUAUUUGAAAACCACAAUACCAGCCAAUCAACUAGUAUCACUCGCUGAAAGAAUUUUAAAUUUUAAAAAUCUCCCAUUGCUGUAACUCAUUCUGCUGAAUAAAAAAGAUCCAAGGUUUAGUCACACUUA
Molecule: long non-coding RNA, 443 nt
Organism: Cavia porcellus (domestic guinea pig)
Lineage: Eukaryota; Metazoa; Chordata; Mammalia; Rodentia; Caviidae
Exons: 2
Source: RefSeq, a predicted model, not a curated record